Molecule: ribosomal RNA, 460 nt
Filed under: uncultured bacterium
Lineage: Bacteria
Description: partial 16S ribosomal RNA
Rfam family: Bacterial small subunit ribosomal RNA
Source: RNAcentral
CCUACGGGAGGCAGCAGUGAGGAAUAUUGGUCAAUGGGCGGAAGCCUGAACCAGCCAAGUAGCGUGCAGGAUGACGGCCCUACGGGUUGUAAACUGCUUUUAUACGGGAAUAACGCGCCUUACGUGUAGGGCUUUGCAUGUACCGUAUGAAUAAGGACCGGCUAAUUCCGUGCCAGCAGCCGCGGUAAUACGGAAGGUCCGGUCGUUAUCCGGAUUUAUUGGGUUUAAAGGGAGCGUAGGCGGGAUGUCAAGCGUGCUGUGAAAGGUCCGGGCUCAACCCUGGCCGUGCAGGGGUAACUGGCGUGCUUGAGUCCGCGGAAGGCAGGCGGAAUUCGUCGUGUAGCGGUGAAAUGCUUAGAUAUGACGAAGAACCCCGAUUGCGAAGGCAGCUUGCUGCAGCGGAACUGACGCUGAUGCUCGAAAGCGCGGGUAUCGAACAGGAUUAGAUACCCCUGUAGUC